GUCAUGUGAUGCCCUGUGUCACCUUAAGCCUCUGCAGAGAGUUCCUACAAGAAGGCCCUCAUUAGAUGUAGCUUCUUGACCUUGGACUUCCUAGUCUUCAGAACUGAUUAAGAAGCCAUUAACCAGAACCACUUAGCUAAAAUGAAUCUUGCUUCCUUCCUACCGGAGUACUCCUCCUCUAGAUUUAUCUGGGUGCCAAUAUCAUCAAAGGAGCUACAUGUCAUCUUGAAUGAGUUUUGGGAAGGAAGGCCAGCCAAUGUCAGAAGUUGUUUGAAUGAAAAGCUGAGACUUUUCAAAGUUGCCUUUAAUCAUACGCUGACUCAAUAAAUAAAGACAUCUAAACCAGAUUGAAUCAUGCAUUAUCAAUGCUGAAAGACAACCUACAAUAAAAU
RNAcentral lists this long non-coding RNA (392 nucleotides) under Homo sapiens (human). RNAcentral describes it as "HSALNT0173211". The record is from RNAcentral. Lineage: Eukaryota; Metazoa; Chordata; Mammalia; Primates; Hominidae.